AAAACUUUCAACAACGGAUCUCUUGGUUCUGGCAUCGAUGAAGAACGCAGCGAAAUGCGAUAAGUAAUGUGAAUUGCAGAAUUCAGUGAAUCAUCGAAUCUUUGAACGCACAUUGCGCCCUCUGGUAUUCCGGAGGGCAUGCCUGUUCGAGCGUCAUUGCACCCCUCCAGCCUCGCUGGGUGUUGAGCGCGGCGGUUUGUCCGCCCGCUCCAAUGUCGCCGGCUGCAGCUAUCCGUCUCUCAGCGUUGUGAUACACCUCUCGCUCUGGGCACUGGGCAGCGUACGCUUUUAUCCUUUCUUCUCAGGUUGACCUCGGAUCAGGUGGG
This 326-nucleotide ribosomal RNA is filed under the name uncultured Teratosphaeriaceae. Its description in RNAcentral is "eukaryotic LSU rRNA". The stretch from base 3 to 156 matches the Rfam family "5.8S ribosomal RNA". The record is from RNAcentral. Lineage: Eukaryota; Fungi; Ascomycota; Dothideomycetes; Mycosphaerellales; Teratosphaeriaceae.